RNAcentral lists this ribosomal RNA (407 nucleotides) under Salpidae sp. 101_UnivF-1183. Its description in RNAcentral is "SSU rRNA". It matches the Rfam family "Eukaryotic small subunit ribosomal RNA", at positions 1239 to 1664 of the family's 1831-position model. The record is from RNAcentral. Lineage: Eukaryota; Metazoa; Chordata; Thaliacea; Salpida; Salpidae.
AUUGACAGAUUGAGAGCUCUUUCUUGAUUCUGUGGGUGGUGGUGCAUGGCCGUUCUUAGUUGGUGGAGCGAUUUGUCUGGUUAAUUCCGAUAACGAACGAGACUCUUACUUGCUAAAUAGCUACUCGAGCAUCUAGCUCGGAGAUAACUUCUUAAAGGGACUAGUGGGGUUUAGCCACACGAGAUUGAGCAAUAACAGGUCUGUGAUGCCCUUAGAUGUUCGGGGCCGCACGCGCGCUACACUGACCGGAUCAUCGUGUGCUUCCCUUGGCCGAAAGGCCCGGGUAAUCCCUUGAACCCCGGUCGUGCUAGGGAUAGGGAAUUGCAAUUGUUUCCCUUGAACGAGGAAUUCCCAGUAAGCGCGAGUCAUUAGCUCGCGUUGAUUACGUCCCUGCCCUUUGUAAUAAC